GGGGACGCGGGCGGCAGAAAGUGGAGCUGGGCUGGUGUGCGCGCGCGGCCGGAGUCUGUGGAGCUGGAAAUUCACCGGUCCAGGAAGACGUCUUUCCCGCGUCCCAGCACCUCGGGCCACGCUCCUUCGUGAGAGCGCCCUCUCCAAGGAGGCCAGCCCUGGAUAUUUCACCCAAAAUAUUUAUUUUUUCUUUUUUUCUAGGCUCCUGUUUUCCUAAUAGCAUGAACAGACCCCCCGUCAGCUCCUACCCCUUGGUCUCUGACCUGUUCCUCCUCCGAGGUGACCUCUAUCCUGAAUUUUGAAAACAUAUUAGUAUUGCCUAUUUCUGGACUUUAUGCAGAUGAAGUCAUUGGUUCUCCCUCUGUCACCCAGAGCUGGAGUGCGGUGGCAUAAUCACAGCUAAUUGCAGCCUCAACAUUCCAGGCCCAAGGAUCCUCCCUUCAGCCUUCCAGGUAGCUGGGACCACAGAGUCGGGGUCUCCCUAUGUUUCCCAGGCUGGCCUCGAACUCCUGACCUCAAGUGAUCCUCCCACCUCAGCCUCCCAGAGUGCUGGGAUUAAAGACGUGAGCCACGGCACCUGGCCUGAAUUUUCCUCAAAUUCAAAAAAUGCUGAUGAAGGUUUGGCUAAAAUCUUUGGUGAGUUACCCCACUCCCUGUGGAACCUCAGGCUGGAUUUGAAGAGUUGCGUGCAUGGUCC
Molecule: small RNA, 697 nt
Filed under: Pan troglodytes (chimpanzee)
Lineage: Eukaryota; Metazoa; Chordata; Mammalia; Primates; Hominidae
Description: processed transcript
Source: RNAcentral